GCCAAUGUGAUGUAGUGGUUUGAGUAUUAGACUAUGACUCUGGAGACCAGGGUUCAAAUCCCAGUUUGGCU
Molecule: transfer RNA, 71 nt
Filed under: Phrynosoma platyrhinos (Desert horned lizard)
Lineage: Eukaryota; Metazoa; Chordata; Lepidosauria; Squamata; Phrynosomatidae
Description: tRNA-OTHER
Source: RNAcentral